This is an RNA transcript of Raphanus sativus (radish), 1621 nucleotides long. RefSeq lists it as uncharacterized. Lineage: Eukaryota; Viridiplantae; Streptophyta; Magnoliopsida; Brassicales; Brassicaceae. The record is from RefSeq and is a predicted model, not a curated record. The transcript is spliced from 3 exons.
UUUAUCAAGUCAUAACGAGGGUUGUUGUCAGCACCGUUACUAGAAGCUUUCUUAAUCCACACCCAUUUGUAAAGACAUGUCUUGUGGAAAACAUGACGGCAAGCUAGCUCAACCACCUCACGAAAAUGGUUUGGGUUUUGGAAAAUGUAUUCAUCACCACAUAAAGCACAUGAGGUAUAUCAUGAACAUCACCUACUGGAUCUUCAUAGUACUGUCUAUCCCAUCCUAACUCGGGUGUCAUAACUUCGACCUUACCACGUGCUACGUCAGCUCGCAAGCUGUGCAACCUCCUGCUACUGUUCCUCAUAAAUGCGUCAGAAUCUUCAGCGUAUCUGGCUAACGCAUACGAAAUGUUAUUCCAGUUAACAUCAUACACAAAAAAACUCACGGAGGGUCAUCCCGCUAGGACUUCUUCAGCAUCCCCCAAUUCCGGUUCACGGAAAAGGAGCUCUGUACGAAGUCGCGCUCGCCCGUCCUUCGCACUUUGCGGUAACCAUUCAUUUAGAAUUUCCCCACGGCUCGAGUAAACAGUUUGCUCCACUAACAAAUUGGGGCGAUUGGCUUCGCGGAAAAUGAGUCGCCUGAACACUCUUGCGUCCACUGCAAUAAAGCAUCCAAAUGGGCUUUGCGAUCGGAGAGUGAUAUUUGUGCCGUAAAUCUCUGUUACUCUCUCGUGCAGAUAAUCUGGAUCCAUGAUAUGAAAAAGAGAGUGAAGAAGAUAAUGAGAGGUUGUUGGUUUAUAAAAUGGUAGUGUCUCUAUGUGUGCAUUUAUAGAGGCAUGAGAUACAAAAAAAAAAAAAUUAAUCACGUAUAGUUCUAUUAUUCUUGUGUACCGGAAUUUUGAGUGGUCAAGUCUCAGUGUACCUUCUAGGUCGUGCACUAUUCAGCUCCAUCAUUUGUAAUCUUCUUGGAUGUGCACCAUUCUUUGCCUUUUCUUUUAUGAAUUCACAUGUCGCAAGCAUGUAAUUGUACUUCCUGGCAUUAUGUUUGCCUUUCUUUUUUCCUUUUUAAAGUGAUUUUGGAUUAUCAAAUUAGUGAAACUCGUUUUUAAUAUAUGAGUAGUUUAUCUAUUAAAAAUAAUUAACCUAGUUAUACUUCUGGUUGAAAGAUUUUACAGAGCAUUUGGUUGUGAUCUUCUUAUAGAAUAUGAAGAAUCAAUUGAUGUUAAUCUUAAUUCGCUCUUCCUAGUAAAGAAAGGCAAGACUCUGUUCACAGUGGACUUCAGGUUUUUAUACCUCAAGCAUCCUGUUUAUGUCACUCAAGGAUCUUACACAAACAUCAAGGUUACAACACCUUACGAUUUACUGCUUGCUGAGAGAAUCUUGUGCAUGGACUCAUGAGGCUGUCGUGGGUAGCAGCACACAUGGCUGUGCAAAUCUACAAUAUACAAGAAGACAAAACGUUGGUGUUUAGUAGUGUCCUUUCCAAAGAAGCCUCAGCCUGAGUUUCCCAUCUUAUCGGCUCUCUUGAUGAUCUAAUCAUCGUCUUACAUCCUUUCAUCUAUUGUUGUUUAGUAGUGUCCUUUUAUUUUUUCUCCUUGUGUUUAAUUUCUACCUGGAUUAAGGGUUGAACCUUGUUUAUCAAGUAAUUGAUUCAGAAUAAAUUAAUUAUGUUUUCUGAA